UGUUAGAAAUGAAGGAGAGUGAUGUUAGAAAUGAAGGAGAAUGAUGUUAGAAAUGAAGGAGAAUGAUGUUAGAAA
Non-coding RNA from Pangasianodon gigas (Mekong giant catfish), 75 nucleotides. The record is from the annotation of a GenBank genome assembly. NCBI's taxonomy places the organism in Eukaryota, Metazoa, Chordata, Actinopteri, Siluriformes, Pangasiidae.